AUUGAACGCUGGCGGCAGGCUUAACACAUGCAAGUCGAGCGGGGGAAGGUAGCUUGCUACCGGACCUAGCGGCGGACGGGUGAGUAAUGCUUAGGAAUCUGCCUAUUAGUGGGGGACAACAUCUCGAAAGGGAUGCUAAUACCGCAUACGUCCUACGGGAGAAAGCAGGGGAUCUUCGGACCUUGCGCUAAUAGAUGAGCCUAAGUCGGAUUAGCUAGUUGGUGGGGUAAAGGCCUACCAAGGCGACGAUCUGUAGCGGGUCUGAGAGGAUGAUCCGCCACACUGGGACUGAGACACGGCCCAGACUCCUACGGGAGGCAGCAGUGGGGAAUAUUGGACAAUGGGGGGAACCCUGAUCCAGCCAUGCCGCGUGUGUGAAGAAGGCCUUAUGGUUGUAAAGCACUUUAAGCGAGGAGGAGGCUACUUUAGUUAAUACCUAGAGAUAGUGGACGUUACUCGCAGAAUAAGCACCGGCUAACUCUGUGCCAGCAGCCGCGGUAAUACAGAGGGUGCGAGCGUUAAUCGGAUUUACUGGGCGUAAAGCGUGCGUAGGCGGCUUAUUAAGUCGGAUGUGAAAUCCCCGAGCUUAA
This 590-nucleotide ribosomal RNA is filed under the name Acinetobacter baumannii OIFC137. Its description in RNAcentral is "bacterial SSU rRNA". It matches the Rfam family "Bacterial small subunit ribosomal RNA", at positions 28 to 612 of the family's 1533-position model. Lineage: Bacteria; Pseudomonadati; Pseudomonadota; Gammaproteobacteria; Moraxellales; Moraxellaceae. The record is from RNAcentral.